This 237-nucleotide ribosomal RNA is filed under the name uncultured bacterium. Its description in RNAcentral is "partial 16S ribosomal RNA". It matches the Rfam family "Bacterial small subunit ribosomal RNA", at positions 96 to 334 of the family's 1533-position model. The record is from RNAcentral.
CGGCGGACGGGUGAGUAACGCGUGGGUAACCUACCCUGUACACACGGAUAACAUACCGAAAGGUAUGCUAAUACGGGAUAAUAUAUUUGAGAGGCAUCUCUUGAAUAUCAAAGGUGAGCCAGUACAGGAUGGACCCGCGUCUGAUUAGCUAGUUGGUAAGGUAACGGCUUACCAAGGCGACGAUCAGUAGCCGCCUGAGAGGGUGAUCGGCCACAUUGGAACUGAGACACGGUCCAA